CAUGCAAGUCGAACGAUGAAGCCCAGCUUGCUGGGUGGAUUAGUGGCGAACGGGUGAGUAACACGUGAGUAACCUGCCCCUGACUCUGGGAUAAGCCCGGGAAACUGGGUCUAAUACCGGAUAUGACUUUUGACCGCAUGGUUGAGGGUGGAAAGAUUUAUCGGUUGGGGAUGGACUCGCGGCCUAUCAGCUUGUUGGUGAGGUAAUGGCUCACCAAGGCGACGACGGGUAGCCGGCCUGAGAGGGUGACCGGCCACACUGGGACUGAGACACGGCCCAGACUCCUACGGGAGGCAGCAGUGGGGAAUAUUGCACAAUGGGCGCAAGCCUGAUGCAGCGACGCCGCGUGAGGGAUGACGGCCUUCGGGUUGUAAACCUCUUUCAGUAGGGAAGAAGCGAAAGUGACGGUACCUGCAGAAGAAGCGCCGGCUAACUACGUGCCAGCAGCCGCGGUAAU
Molecule: ribosomal RNA, 457 nt
Filed under: uncultured bacterium
Lineage: Bacteria
Description: bacterial SSU rRNA
Rfam family: Bacterial small subunit ribosomal RNA
Source: RNAcentral